GCGCCGAGAGGAAAGUCCGGGCAGCUCGAGCCACCAUGCUUCCUAACGGGAAGAGGCUUCGAGGGUAACCGAGAGGUCAUAGAAAGCGCCACAGAAAACAUACCGCCUGCUCCAUGCAGGCAAGGGUGAAAACGCGGGGUAAGAGCCCACGACGCGUCCCGGCGACGGGCGCGAUGGCAAGCCUCAUGGGCUGAAAGACCAUGUAUACCGAUACGCCUCACGGCAGCAGGCCGGCUCGCCUGCACUAUCGGGGGGUAGGUUGAUAGAGACCGUCGGCGACGGCGGCCCCAGAUUAAUGAUAGGACACGACAGAACCCGGCUUACAGGCUCC
RNAcentral lists this RNase P RNA (331 nucleotides) under bovine gut metagenome. RNAcentral's name for it is "Bacterial RNase P class A". It matches the Rfam family "Bacterial RNase P class A", at positions 36 to 357 of the family's 367-position model. From Rfam's summary of the family: Ribonuclease P (RNase P) is a ubiquitous endoribonuclease, found in archaea, bacteria and eukarya as well as chloroplasts and mitochondria. The record is from RNAcentral.